This 253-nucleotide ribosomal RNA is filed under the name uncultured bacterium. RNAcentral describes it as "partial 16S ribosomal RNA". It matches the Rfam family "Bacterial small subunit ribosomal RNA", at positions 524 to 776 of the family's 1533-position model. The record is from RNAcentral.
UACGUAGGGUGCGAGCGUUGUCCGGAAUUACUGGGCGUAAAGAGCUCGUAGGUGGUUUGUCGCGUUGUUCGUGAAAACCGGGGGCUUAACCCUCGGCGUGCGGGCGAUACGGGCAGACUUGAGUACUGCAGGGGAGACUGGAAUUCCUGGUGUAGCGGUGGAAUGCGCAGAUAUCAGGAGGAGCACCGGUGGCGAAGGCGGGUCUCUGGGCAGUAACUGACGCUGAGGAGCGAAAGCGUGGGGAGCGAACAGG